AGAGGUGGCGAGCGUUGUUCGGAUUUACUGGGCGUAAAGGGUGCGUAGGCGGUUUUGUGUGUCGGGUGUGAAAUCUCACCGUCCAACGGCGAAACUGCAUUCGAAACUGCAGGACUAGAGUACAGGAGGGGAGAGUGGAAUUCUCGGUGUAGCGGUGAAAUGCGUAGAUAUCGAGAAGAACGCCGGCGGCGAAGGCGACUCUCUGGACUGAUACUGACGCAGAGGCACGAAAGCUGGGGGUAGCGAAGAGGAUUAGAUACCCUCGUAGUCCCAGCCGUAAACGGUGUGCACUUGGUGUGGGUGGCUUUGUCCCCCCCCAUCCGUGCCGUAGCUAACGCGUUAAGUGCACCGCCUGGGAGUACGGCCGCAAGGCUA
RNAcentral lists this ribosomal RNA (375 nucleotides) under uncultured organism. RNAcentral describes it as "partial 16S ribosomal RNA". It matches the Rfam family "Bacterial small subunit ribosomal RNA", at positions 527 to 896 of the family's 1533-position model. The record is from RNAcentral.